UAUCUCUUAGCUUGUCACACUGAAGACCCUUAUCCCUCCAGGGAACUGUUCCCAAUUACUGUCCAUUCCAAGUUAUCUGGACAGUGUCUGGCUCAUUCCCCACCCAGAUCUGCUUGCAAGGGGCUUUAUGAUCACUGCCUUCAGAUGCCAUUUCAUUAGCUGUAUCAAUCUGUUCUUCCAUUCAUUUUACAAACAUUUGCCGAAUGCCUAGUAUGCCUCUGACAGUGUACUAUGUGCUGGGGUUGGAUAUAAAUAAAUUAUGGUCUCUGCUGCUCUGUAGGAAUAGUUAAUUUCAGAAAUCUUACCUACUGUCAUGUUAAUAGGUUCAUAAUGGAUCUCAAAUAUACCUUUUCUGAUCCUGAGUUACACCUUAGUUCUCUAGCACAUGUUUAAUAUUUGUGUUUUCCUUGUCCCUAAACCUAGCAAGACUAAUGCUUUCCUAUCCUAGAGGCCCAGGAUCCUAAUUACAUGAUUAUUAGCCUUGCCGUCGAUAUUUCCCCAAACUCAAACAUGGAAACGAUAUCCUUUCAAUUCUUCCGCUUUUAAGGCAUUAAGAUUAAUCCUCUCAAUUUCCCUUGGACAAUAUCUUGAACCUUCUCCAUUUCCACAGGUAGACAUACAACCCACCCACAUCACACAUUUGGGUGACAGGAGUAACCUCCUCCCCAAUACUUCUGCUUCUCUCCACUUCACUCCAUCCCCAACAGAGCUGCCAGGUUGAUUUUCCUACCUGACUAAUCUGACUCCACAGCAACACCUCUCUCUUGCUCUGGAUUUUCUUAAUACCUAAGUAUACAGUCUAGGUCACAUUAUCAUACAUAUUCACAUGGUGCUUUUUAAAAUUAUUCCCUCAGAGGCCAAGACGUGUCAUGGGUAUCAGUGAUAGUAUUUUAAUGAAUGCAGCUCUCUUGAAGAGGACUUGGAAACUAAUGCUAUCAGGUAUGUGGCAAAGGCCACCUUAUAAAACAGUAAAGGACAGGCUCUGAGGUUAGUGACAGAGCCUCUCUGAGUUCCUCACUUUGCAGCAACAGGGAGCAGCAAAGCCAGGGCCCCAUGGGACUGCUCUCCCUUCUGCUAAUGGCACUUGGUUGGCAGAGGUGACGAGAUCCUAACAUUCUCAAAUGGACAGAAGAUAAAUAAACAUCUCUCUCUCUCUCUCUCUCUCUCUCUCUCUCUCUCUCUAAACAGACAUGUUGCAGCUCGGAAAUUUUUCAGUUUUUCUCAUUGCAAAAUCAAUAACCAUCAGCAGUUUGAAAUUAAAGGCAAGAUUAGGCCUCAGUUUUAUACAUGCCUUAUUGUAUUCCAAAAGCUUUCUACUCAGUCAGAUAAAUCUUCUUUAAGAGGAUUAGGAAACUUUCAUUAUCUUUAUCUAACCUGAACUAACACUAAGUCUGAAAAAUUAAUCUAUAGACUGGACAAAAGCCGAUAGCUGCUGGGAAGAAGGAGGACUCUUGGACUUCUUUCUAAUUGAGCAGUGGGGUCUCUGCUUCCUCCCACUAGAAAUUCAACUGGUCUCCAAAGAAAGAACAAGUCACCCAUUGCUAACCAAGACAGAACAGAAUGCAGCUCUUGCUGCAUUUCCUGAAUUUGAAGAUAACUUUGCUGUCAAGGCCACGAAGGUGCCAUGGAGGCGUCACUUCCAAAGCUGAGAAUUUCAGCUCCUCUGGAACUAAGCCCAGGUGGCAGGCGGGGUAGUGAGAACUCACACCCCCUUGUUUUCUGCACCCCAGAAACUUUCAACAGACAUUCCGGCUCAUCUCAGAUAACUGAUCUCACCAAGUGCCUCCACCAUCCACUGAGAAGAAGCAUCAGACAUGACAGCUGCCUUUAUCUCCAGAUGGCAGGCCGUCUUGUAGUUCCAAAGCAGUGAUCAUCACCAAGCCAUACCCCUGGGUGGGACAUGAGUGGAGAAUGGAAACAGCAGAGUGUACAGACAUCUGUGGUAUGCAGACCAAUGUGGGUGUCUGAAAGCACUUGGGGAUGAGACAAGGGCUUGGACGCUGAACUGAGGCUGGGCUUCAAGCAAUAUGGCAGCACCCAGGGCCUGGUGGAAAAGAAAGCUGCAGCAGAAUGAUUUCUGAUCCAGCACAUGCCAUUACAAAUGUCCCAAGAACCAGAGACCUGGAUGUUAAGCUAGCAAAGAGCUGUUUUAGCCAAAAGAAGGAAUGGCCACCCUGAUUUUUACAAGUGAAUGAAGUGUGAAAAGACACUAACCCCUAUUCAAACUCUCCAUGAAACCAACUGAUAGUGCUAAGUAACUUAAGAAAGCUCAACAAGCACAUGCCAAACAACUUAUUAACAAGAACAGAAGGACCAAAGGUACAAUUGAGAGACUGUGAAGAUAUGCAGUACUUAGUCAAGAAUUCAGCAGAUGGGAAGGAAUCCAGAACAUACACUCAGUCUCUGGGUUCCACAGAGGAAAAUGUUUCUCAUGUCUUCACACCAGAAUAGAAGCAAAGACUGAGAUAAUGUUUCCCUUCCAUCAUCGACAGGUCCACCAAGCCCCGAAUCCAGCUGUA
Leopardus geoffroyi (Geoffroy's cat) is the source of this 2519-nucleotide long non-coding RNA. RefSeq lists it as uncharacterized. The record is from RefSeq and is a predicted model, not a curated record. Lineage: Eukaryota; Metazoa; Chordata; Mammalia; Carnivora; Felidae. The transcript has 3 exons.